Molecule: long non-coding RNA, 300 nt
Filed under: Bos taurus (domestic cattle)
Lineage: Eukaryota; Metazoa; Chordata; Mammalia; Artiodactyla; Bovidae
Description: long non-coding RNA NONBTAT025671
Source: RNAcentral
AGCUCAGCAGAGUUAAUGUCACCACAUCGUAGACUGAAGAUAUCGUAUCAUUCAUAAAUAGUUGAACACACACACAUACCCCUAGAGUAAUCUGUAACCGCCAGCUGUUAAAUUUGCUCAGAUAGAGUGACUAGGAUCCAUGUCAUUUCAUUUUGCUUUUGAAUUUUAGGGAGAUGUAGAUAUAUCCCCAAAUUUUACUUUUCCUCUUCCUUGUGGAAGGAAAACCUACAGCUGCUCUGGGGAAAAAGGAACACAUCUUCCCAAGCUAAACCUUCAGAGCUAGAACUGCGCCCCCCACCC